AGGCCUAACACAUGCAAGUCGAGCGGGGAGAUGUAGCUUGCUACAUUUCCUAGCGGCGGACGGGUGAGUAAUGCUUAGGAAUCUGCCUAUUAGCGGGGGACAACAUUCCGAAAGGAAUGCUAAUACCGCAUACGCCCUACGGGGGAAAGCAGGGGAUCUUCGGACCUUGCGCUNAUAGAUGAGCCUAAGUCAGAUUAGCUAGUUGGUGGGGUAAAGGCCUACCAAGGCGACGAUCUGUAGCGGGUCUGAGAGGAUGAUCCGCCACACUGGGACUGAGACACGGCCCAGACUCCUACGGGAGGCAGCAGUGGGGAAUAUUGGACAAUGGGCGCAAGCCUGAUCCAGCCAUGCCGCGUGUGUGAAGAAGGCCUUUUGNUUGUAAAGCACUUUAAGCGAGGAGGAGGCUACUUGGAUUAAUACUCUAGGAUAGUGGACGUUACUCGCAGAAUAAGCACCGGCUAAUUCUGUGCCAGCAGCCGCGGUAAUACG
Molecule: ribosomal RNA, 489 nt
Filed under: uncultured bacterium
Lineage: Bacteria
Description: bacterial SSU rRNA
Rfam family: Bacterial small subunit ribosomal RNA
Source: RNAcentral